Molecule: ribosomal RNA, 591 nt
Filed under: Triticum aestivum (bread wheat)
Lineage: Eukaryota; Viridiplantae; Streptophyta; Magnoliopsida; Poales; Poaceae
Description: partial small subunit ribosomal RNA
Source: RNAcentral
AUGAGCCGUUUGUGGUGCUCGCUCUCCCAGAUGCUCCGCCGCUGCAGAGCUCCGGCCGCCCCGCAGCGCCUGCUUAACUGGUGUUCUUCUGCCUCCCGCGUCACGCCUGCUCUACUCCGUCGCCCAGCGUCCACUAUGUUGCGGCCGCUUCGUCGGCAGUUCCGUUGGUACCACGACCCUCGGAAGGUCGCCGCGGCGACGGCGAUCGGCUUGAGCGCCGCGGUGAUGGCCACAUGCAACCGCGAGGUCGUGCCCUGCACCAACCGCUCCCACCUGGUCGUCCUGUCUCCCCAGGAGGAGCGCGACCUCGGCGAGUCCCUCUUCGCCGACGAGAUGGCCAAGCACAGGCACAAGACCAUCGACCCAUGCCAUCCGGAUAGCGUCCGCGUCCGUCGCAUCGCCGAAAGAAUCAUCCACGCCGCCAACCGUGGCCUGGGCGUCUACGACAGCCGUGACGCCCCCAUGCUCCGCGUCACUCGGAAAGGAAACAAGCCGUGGGCACCACAGCCACACACGAGGCACCUCCAUGGCUCCAUGGCCUCAACGGCAGCUGGGAGCUGGUCCUGGCCACACAUGAUAACGCCACUGUAG